AAAUUGAAGAGUUUGAUCAUGGCUCAGAUUGAACGCUGGCGGCAGGCCUAACACAUGCAAGUCGAGCGGUAGCACAGGAGAGCUUGCUCUCUGGGUGACGAGCGGCGGACGGGUGAGUAAUGUCUGGGAAACUGCCUGAUGGAGGGGGAUAACUACUGGAAACGGUAGCUAAUACCGCAUAACCUCGCAAGAGCAAAGAGGGGGACCUUCGGGCCUCUCGCCAUCAGAUGUGCCCAGAUGGGAUUAGCUAGUAGGUGAGGUAAUGGCUCACCUAGGCGACGAUCCCUAGCUGGUCUGAGAGGAUGACCAGCCACACUGGAACUGAGACACGGUCCAGACUCCUACGGGAGGCAGCAGUGGGGAAUAUUGCACAAUGGGCGCAAGCCUGAUGCAGCCAUGCCGCGUGUGUGAAGAAGGCCUUCGGGUUGUAAAGCACUUUCAGCGGGGAGGAAGGCGAUAAGGUUAAUAACCUUGUCGAUUGACGUUACCCGCAGAAGAAGCACCGGCUAACUCCGUGCCAGCAGCCGCGGUAAUACGGAGGGUGCAAGCGUUAAUCGGAAUGACUGGGCGUAAAGCGCACGCAGGCGGUCUGUUAAGUUGGAUGUGAAAUCCCCGGGCUUAACCUGGGAACUGCAUUCAAAACUGACAGGCUAGAGUCUUGUAGAGGGGGGUAGAAUUCCAGGUGUAGCGGUGAAAUGCGUAGAGAUCUGGAGGAAUACCGGUGGCGAAGGCGGCCCCCUGGACAAAGACUGACGCUCAGGUGCGAAAGCGUGGGGAGCAAACAGGAUUAGAUACCCUGGUAGUCCACGCUGUAAACGAUGUCGACUUGGAGGUUGUGCCCUUGAGGCGUGGCUUCCGGAGCUAACGCGUUAAGUCGACCGCCUGGGGAGUACGGCCGCAAGGUUAAAACUCAAAUGAAUUGACGGGGGCCCGCACAAGCGGUGGAGCAUGUGGUUUAAUUCGAUGCAACGCGAAGAACCUUACCUACUCUUGACAUCCAGAGAAUUUGCUAGAGAUAGCUUAGUGCCUUCGGGAACUCUGAGACAGGUGCUGCAUGGCUGUCGUCAGCUCGUGUUGUGAAAUGUUGGGUUAAGUCCCGCAACGAGCGCAACCCUUAUCCUUUGUUGCCAGCGAUUCGGUCGGGAACUCAAAGGAGACUGCCGGUGAUAAACCGGAGGAAGGUGGGGAUGACGUCAAGUCAUCAUGGCCCUUACGAGUAGGGCUACACACGUGCUACAAUGGCGUAUACAAAGAGAAGCGACCUCGCGAGAGUAAGCGGACCUCAUAAAGUACGUCGUAGUCCGGAUUGGAGUCUGCAACUCGACUCCAUGAAGUCGGAAUCGCUAGUAAUCGUAGAUCAGAAUGCUACGGUGAAUACGUUCCCGGGCCUUGUACACACCGCCCGUCACACCAUGGGAGUGGGUUGCAAAAGAAGUAGGUAGCUUAACCUUCGGGAGGGCGCUUACCACUUUGUGAUUCAUGACUGGGGUGAAGUCGUAACAAGGUAACCGUAGGGGAACCUGCGGUUGGAUCACCUCCUUACCAAAAAGA
Molecule: ribosomal RNA, 1551 nt
Filed under: Pectobacterium polaris
Lineage: Bacteria; Pseudomonadati; Pseudomonadota; Gammaproteobacteria; Enterobacterales; Pectobacteriaceae
Description: bacterial SSU rRNA
Rfam family: Bacterial small subunit ribosomal RNA
Source: RNAcentral